GGAAAACCUUUGGCAACAAUAAUAUGUAUUGCCACUAGUGGCAAGUUCGCCAGAGGUUUUUUUCUGGCAAACAAUUCCCUCAAGAUUCUAUUUUAAUCUGUGGCAACAAUAUUUAUUGCCACUAGUAGUGACAAACAGAAGUUGUUUUUGGUGAACACAUGAGUUCCAAGACCAGUAACCGUAGAUGACCAGUCAAGGGGAGAAGAAAAAUCUGUUGGAAAAUGGAAACAAAGUUAUCUAGCUACCUACCGAAGUUGUCAACAAUCAGUUACAAGGGAAAAAAUACAGAUUGAGGCCUUCAAUCAAGCUGAGGACAGAGAAAUAUGUGUGCACCAGGACCCUGGGAAGAAAGAGAAGGAGCGGCAGAGGAGGG
This 373-nucleotide long non-coding RNA is filed under the name Salmo salar (Atlantic salmon). Its description in RNAcentral is "lncRNA (ENSSSAG00000094273.1, ENSSSAG00075013666.1)". Lineage: Eukaryota; Metazoa; Chordata; Actinopteri; Salmoniformes; Salmonidae. The record is from RNAcentral.